This 269-nucleotide ribosomal RNA is filed under the name uncultured prokaryote. Its description in RNAcentral is "partial 16S ribosomal RNA". It matches the Rfam family "Bacterial small subunit ribosomal RNA", at positions 524 to 792 of the family's 1533-position model. The record is from RNAcentral.
CACGGGGGGGGCAAGCGUUGUCCGGAAUUAUUGGGCGUAAAGGGCGCGUAGGCGGGAUAAUAAGUCUAUGGUGAAAUCUUACGGCUUAACCGUAAGCUUGCCUUGGAUACUGUUAUUCUUGAGUUCGGAAGAGGGAAGUGGAAUUCCUGGUGUAGCGGUGAAAUGCGUAGAUAUCAGGAAGAACACCGGUGGCGAAGGCGACUUCCUGGUCCGAUACUGACGCUGAGGCGCGAAAGCGUGGGGAGCAAACAGGAUUAGAUACCCUCGUA